Hipposideros armiger (great roundleaf bat) is the source of this 2541-nucleotide long non-coding RNA. RefSeq lists it as uncharacterized. Lineage: Eukaryota; Metazoa; Chordata; Mammalia; Chiroptera; Hipposideridae. The record is from RefSeq and is a predicted model, not a curated record. The transcript is spliced from 4 exons.
UGACGUCAAGGCCCGCUGACCUGACCAAGAGGGCUUUAACUUGAAUGGCAGGAGAGAAAAGGGUUCAACUAAAGCUUGUGGGACAUGUAUGUGCUCGGAAGGACAUCCGGUCUGACGUACAGAGCAGGGCAAGAGGUGCCUAGUACAUUUCCAGGAGAAAUCGCUGGGAAGAAGAGUGGGAACAACAAUCAAGGCCUCCAAAGCCUACGUACCAGUGGACGGGGUGUGGGCAACAGGUUCUCGCUCAGGAACGAAGCAACUGAGUAGCAGCUCCUAGAGGCAGACACAUGGAGGCGAGAUGAAAGGUCCUGCCCGGGUCCCCGCAGUGGCUGAGAACGGACGUUCACUGACGUUUACAUAGCCAGGUCGCAGCUCGAUAGCCUCUCCAGAGCAUCAUCAACGAGCGUCAGUCACGCACACACACUACAGAACAUGAAUAUUACCUGCAGUGAGGCACCAAGAUUCUGUCUUGGUUACAAGGAGCUGGAAUCAUCUAAGACCAGAAUCUGUCUUUCGAAUACAAAGACUCAGAAAGAUCUGGGGACCUAAAGGGAAGGAGAAUGAGAUAACGAAACAUGUAACUUGGCCUUGAGGACACUGGGGAUGGUAGGAGACCAUGGUCAGUGGUGUCCAUCUGCCAGAUGGCAGACACCUUCUUGGGAAUCUCUGCCAUGAAGCCCUGGACUGAGUACUCUGCCCGGGAUGUCCCUGGCUCAUCAAGUUUCCCUGAGCUGAGACUCCUGACAUGGCCAGACCAAGGAGCAGAUGACAACAUGUGCUAAUUCCCUCUGGGGCCCUCAGGAGCCAACUCUGGAGGCAUUCAGCUUUUAACAUGAAAAACAUCAAAAAGUGACAUCUGAAGGACGUGGCCACACUCAGAUGAGUCCUAAGAAGAAAGACCAAUGUACAGUGGCCUAACAUUUCAUUGUAAAGGGCCCUCUUGAUUUUUUCUGCCAUCUUUAAGUCUUCAAAUAAGAGACCAGAUUCCCAAUUCCUGUACAAAUCAUGAAUGCCUGAGGCCACCCAGUUCAUAAUAUUGGGUUGUUGGAAACGUCACUUUUUGUUUUUUGUUGCAAAAAUGCGUCAUGACUUUUCCGACAACCAAUAGUAUCAGGAGAUGACACACCCCCUCUGGACUUGCAGACGAGACAAGGAGAAAGAUGAAUCGAAACCCACAAUGACAAGAGGCAGUCCUCCUCCUAAAGGUAUCCACAGGUUAGCAUCUUGGCAGGAGAUAAACAAAGGCACCAAAAAGCCCUGACAACUGGAAACCCCUCCGGCUGCGGGGGCUACGUCUGAUGAGUGACAGGAAAGGCCUAGUAAUUUGCAGAACUGAAUCUCGGUUUCGUCUGCCCCAGCAUGCCUGAGGGACAAUAUGCUUCCCAAGUAAUAGAGGCUUUCGGAAGCAGGGCUUCUCAGCGUAAGAUUACCACCUCCUCCCUCCAAAAGGAGGCUUACUGGACCAGAUCCUAAGAAUGCGUCCUGGAAGGGCUAAGACUGAACCCUCUGAAGAUGAUCUCCCUCCCCAUUCAGUGUGAAUGUUUAGUAAUACUCAUCGUAGAGUAGUAAACAGUCAGGGUAUGCGCAUGGUACUCCAGGCACUAAAGAGAGUAGGACUAAAUAUUCUCUGCUGUCCCCAAAAUCAGUGACAUCAACAUAUUUCCCACGAUGGGAGAGACUGGGGAGUCAGAAAAACUGCCACUUCCCUCUGAGAGCUAUUCCAGAAGUCAUUUUGGAUUUCAGGAGGUCAUUGGGAAGUGGGUAGGGAGGGAGGACACACUUCAGUGCUAUGCAAGAGCUGGGCGAGCACCACACAUGGGACAGAGAGCUGUACACGCCCUUGGGUAUUCCAUAAGCAAGAGCCCCAUCACCCAGCUCCACAGUCCCAUGCUUCAUUGUAAAAUCUGGAAUUUAUCCAACAGUAAUGUCUUCUUGCAACCUUGUGACCCACCAGACUCUGGAUAUUUGGCCCUGUUUGGGGUCACUAUCAAUAUAUUAGAGAGCCUGGCUUGAAGAUGCCUAUAUUCUGGAAGAGAACUUUGCACUUGUGAGGCAUCAAAGGGGUCUGGGUCAUGAAUAAAGAGACCAGGAAGUGGGUCUAGCUGUCACCACUGCCUCCUGUCUUGGGUUUUCCUGCUGGGGACUCUGCAGUGCACAAAACCAGGCCAGUCCUCCUUGCAACCCUGCUGCCCAGCUGUUUACUGGCUGUGGAUUACUGCCGUCACGUGGCAGUGUUGUUGUUUUUGUUUUUUUUAAAGCAAAGCCAUGCUGCCCAUGAGCUGAGGUCACAGGGAGGCAAGGCUUGUGAAGUAUUUGUGUUGUCAGAGGGGGCACAGCUUGCCAGGAGAUCACAGUACUUUUGCUACGGACUUGCAAUCAGUGCUAGCCAACAGAACUUUCUGCACUGAUGGGAGUGUUCUGUACCUACACAUUCCAUUCCAGUACCCACUAGCUACAGGUGGCUAUUUAAAUUUAAAUGUGAAUAAGUUAAAAUUCAAUACAAAAAUUCAGUACCUCGAGCCACAGUUAUUGAGCACUUAA